UACAGAGGGGGCAAGCGUUGUUCGGAAUUACUGGGCAUAAAGCGCACGUAGGCGGACCAUCAAGUCGGAUGUGAAAUCCCUCGGCUUAACCGAGGACGUGCAUUCGAUACUGAUGGCCUUGAGUACGAAAGAGGAUCGCGGAAUUCCCGGUGUAGAGGUGAAAUUCGUAGAUAUCGGGAGGAACACCAGUGGCGAAGGCGGCGAUCUGGGUCGAUACUGACGCUGAGGUGCGAAAGCGUGGGGAGCAAACAGG
Molecule: ribosomal RNA, 253 nt
Filed under: uncultured bacterium
Lineage: Bacteria
Description: partial 16S ribosomal RNA
Rfam family: Bacterial small subunit ribosomal RNA
Source: RNAcentral